This 545-nucleotide ribosomal RNA is filed under the name Salmonella enterica subsp. enterica serovar Virchow. RNAcentral's name for it is "bacterial SSU rRNA". It matches the Rfam family "Bacterial small subunit ribosomal RNA", at positions 977 to 1522 of the family's 1533-position model. The record is from RNAcentral. Lineage: Bacteria; Pseudomonadati; Pseudomonadota; Gammaproteobacteria; Enterobacterales; Enterobacteriaceae.
GGUCUUGACAUCCACGGAAGUUUUCAGAGAUGAGAAUGUGCCUUCGGGAACCGUGAGACAGGUGCUGCAUGGCUGUCGUCAGCUCGUGUUGUGAAAUGUUGGGUUAAGUCCCGCAACGAGCGCAACCCUUAUCCUUUGUUGCCAGCGAUUAGGUCGGGAACUCAAAGGAGACUGCCAGUGAUAAACUGGAGGAAGGUGGGGAUGACGUCAAGUCAUCAUGGCCCUUACGACCAGGGCUACACACGUGCUACAAUGGCGCAUACAAAGAGAAGCGACCUCGCGAGAGCAAGCGGACCUCAUAAAGUGCGUCGUAGUCCGGAUUGGAGUCUGCAACUCGACUCCAUGAAGUCGGAAUCGCUAGUAAUCGUGGAUCAGAAUGCCACGGUGAAUACGUUCCCGGGCCUUGUACACACCGCCCGUCACACCAUGGGAGUGGGUUGCAAAAGAAGUAGGUAGCUUAACCUUCGGGAGGGCGCUUACCACUUUGUGAUUCAUGACUGGGGUGAAGUCGUAACAAGGUAACCGUAGGGGAACCUGCGGUUGGA